This 1346-nucleotide ribosomal RNA is filed under the name uncultured bacterium. Its description in RNAcentral is "partial 16S ribosomal RNA". It matches the Rfam family "Bacterial small subunit ribosomal RNA", at positions 28 to 1381 of the family's 1533-position model. The record is from RNAcentral.
GACGAACGCUGGCGGCGUGCUUAACACAUGCAAGUCGAACGGAAAGGCCCUGCUUUUGUGGGGUGCUCGAGUGGCGAACGGGUGAGUAACACGUGAGUAACCUGCCCUUGACUUUGGGAUAACUUCAGGAAACUGGGGCUAAUACCGGAUAGGAGCUCCUGCUGCAUGGUGGGGGUUGGAAAGUUUCGGCGGUUGGGGAUGGACUCGCGGCUUAUCAGCUUGUUGGUGGGGUAGUGGCUUACCAAGGCUUUGACGGGUAGCCGGCCUGAGAGGGUGACCGGCCACAUUGGGACUGAGAUACGGCCCAGACUCCUACGGGAGGCAGCAGUGGGGAAUAUUGCACAAUGGGCGGAAGCCUGAUGCAGCAACGCCGCGUGCGGGAUGACGGCCUUCGGGUUGUAAACCGCUUUCGCCUGUGACGAAGCGUGAGUGACGGUAAUGGGUAAAGAAGCACCGGCUAACUACGUGCCAGCAGCCGCGGUGAUACGUAGGGUGCGAGCGUUGUCCGGAUUUAUUGGGCGUAAAGGGCUCGUAGGUGGUUGAUCGCGUCGGAAGUGUAAUCUUGGGGCUUAACCCUGAGCGUGCUUUCGAUACGGGUUGACUUGAGGAAGGUAGGGGAGAGUGGAAUUCCUGGUGGAGCGGUGGAAUGCGCAGAUAUCAGGAGGAACACCAGUGGCGAAGGCGGUUCUCUGGGCCUUUCCUGACGCUGAGGAGCGAAAGCGUGGGGAGCGAACAGGCUUAGAUACCCUGGUAGUCCACGCUGUAAACGGUGGGUACUAGGUGUGGGGUCCAUUCCACGGGUUCCGUGCCGUAGCUAACGCUUUAAGUACCCCGCCUGGGGAGUACGGCCGCAAGGCUAAAACUCAAAGGAAUUGACGGGGCCCCGCACAAGCGGCGGAGCAUGCGGAUUAAUUCGAUGCAACGCGUAGAACCUUACCUGGGUUUGACAUGGAUCGGGAGUGCUCAGAGAUGGGUGUGCCUCUUUUGGGGUCGGUUCACAGGUGGUGCAUGGCUGUCGUCAGCUCGUGUCGUGAGAUGUUGGGUUAAGUCCCGCAACGAGCGCAACCCCUGUUCACUGUUGCCAGCACGUUAUGGUGGGGACUCAGUGGAGACCGCCGGGGUCAACUCGGAGGAAGGUGGGGAUGACGUCAAGUCAUCAUGCCCCUUAUGUCCAGGGCUUCACGCAUGCUACAAUGGCUGGUACAGAGAGUGGCGAGCCUGUGAGGGUGAGCGAAUCUCGGAAAGCCGGUCUCAGUUCGGAUUGGGGUCUGCAACUCGACCUCAUGAAGUCGGAGUCGCUAGUAAUCGCAGAUCAGCAACGCUGCGGUGAAUACGUUCCCGGGGCU